Molecule: long non-coding RNA, 157 nt
Organism: Octopus sinensis (East Asian common octopus)
Lineage: Eukaryota; Metazoa; Mollusca; Cephalopoda; Octopoda; Octopodidae
Exons: 3
Source: RefSeq, a predicted model, not a curated record
CUUAUUCUUUACUUUACUAGAAGUAAUAGCUUGUCCUAUACCUUUCCAGGUGUAAUAACUUGCCCUGUACGUUUCCAGGUUUAUAAUAGUAAGAAUAUUACUUUUCAUGCUCGCAUUUUCCAUGUUGUAUGUGUGUGUGUGUGUGUGUGUGUGUGUG